CCGGGAGCUACCUGCAGUCGAGCGGAGAGGGUAGCUUGCUACCUGAUUCAGCGGUGGACGGGUGAGUAAUGCCUAGGAAUCUGCCCGAUAGUGGGGGAUAACGUUCCGAAAGGAACGCUAAUACCGCAUACGUCCUACGGGAGAAAGCGGGGGAUCUUCGGACCUCGCGCUAUCGGAUGAGCCUAGGUCGGAUUAGCUAGUUGGUGAGGUAAUGGCUCACCAAGGCGACGAUCCGUAGCUGGUCUGAGAGGAUGAUCAGCCACACUGGGACUGAGACACGGCCCAGACUCCUACGGGAGGCAGCAGUGGGGAAUAUUGGACAAUGGGUGAAAGCCUGAUCCAGCCAUGCCGCGUGUGUGAAGAAGGUCUUCGGAUUGUAAAGCACUUUAAGUUGGGAGGAAGGGUUGUAACCUAAUACGUUGCAACUUUGACGUUACCGACAGAAUAAGCACCGGCUAACUUCGUGCCAGCAGCCGCGGUAAUACGAAGAGUGCAAGCGUUAAUCGGAAUUACUGGGCGUAAAGCGCGCGUAGGUGGUUUGAUAAGUUCGAUGUGAAAGCCCCGGGCUCAACCUGGGAAUUGCAUCCAAAACUGUCUGACUAGAGUACGGUAGAGGGUAGUGGAAUUUCCUGUGUAGCGGUGAAAUGCGUAGAUAUAGGAAGGAACACCAGUGGCGAAGGCGACUACCUGGACUGAUACUGACACUGAGGUGCGAAAGCGUGGGGAGCAAACAGGAUUAGUUACCCUGGUAGUCCACGCCGUAAACGAUGUCAACUAGUUGUUGGGCUCCAUGAGGGCUUAGUAACGCAGCUAACGCAUUAAGUUGACCGCCUGGGGAGUACGGCCGCAAGGUUAAAACUCAAAUGAAUUGACGGGGGCCCGCACAAGCGGGUGGAGCAUGUGGUUUAAUUCGAAGCAACGCGAAGAACCUUACCUGGCCUUGACAUGCUGAGAACUUUCCAGAGAUGGAUUGGUGCCUUCGGGAACUCAGACACAGGUGCUGCAUGGCUGUCCUCAGCUCGCGUCGUGAGAUGCUGGGCUAAGUCCAGUCACGAGCGCAACCCUUGUCCUUAGUUAUCAGCACGUUAUGGUGGGCACUCUAAGGAGACUGCCGGUGACAAACCGGAGGAAGGUGGGGAUGAUGUCAAGUCAUCAUGGCCCUUACGCCCAGGGCUACACACGUGCUACAAUGGUCGGUACAAAGGGCUGCCAAGCCGUAGAGGUGGAGCUAAUCCCAUAAAACCGAUCGUAGUCCGGAUCGCAGUCUGCAACUCGACUGCGUGAAGUCGGAAUCGCUAGUAAUCGUGAAUCAGAAUGUCACGCCGAAUACGUUCCAGGGACUGGUACACACCCCCCGUCACACCACGGGAGUGGGAGCUCCAGACGUACGCGUCUACCUGAUGGGAGACCCUGC
This 1414-nucleotide ribosomal RNA is filed under the name bacterium endosymbiont of Onthophagus Taurus. Its description in RNAcentral is "bacterial SSU rRNA". It matches the Rfam family "Bacterial small subunit ribosomal RNA". The record is from RNAcentral.